UACGGAGGGUGCAAGCGUUAAUCGGAAUUACUGGGCGUAAAGCGCACGCAGGCGGCCUGUCCAGUCGGGUGUGAAAUCCCCGGGCUCAACCCGGGAACUGCAUCUGGAACUGGCAGACUAGAGUCUUGUAGAGGGGGGUAGAAUUCCCGGUGUAGCGGUGAAAUGCGUAGAGAUCUGGAGGAAUACCGGUGGCGAAGGCGGCCCCCUGGACAGAGACUGACACUCAGGUGCGAAAGCGUGGGGAGCAAACAGG
RNAcentral lists this ribosomal RNA (253 nucleotides) under uncultured bacterium. RNAcentral's name for it is "partial 16S ribosomal RNA". It matches the Rfam family "Bacterial small subunit ribosomal RNA", at positions 524 to 776 of the family's 1533-position model. The record is from RNAcentral.